UACGGGGGGGGCAAGCGUUGUCCGGAAUUACUGGGCGUAAAGGGCUCGUAGGCGGCCAACUAAGUCAGACGUGAAAUCCCUCGGCUUAACCGGGGAACUGCGUCUGAUACUGGAUGGCUUGAAUCCGGGAGAGGGAUGCGGAAUUCCAGGUGUAGCGGUGAAAUGCGUAGAUAUCUGGAGGAACACCGGUGGCGAAGGCGGCAUCCUGGACCGGCAUUGACGCUGAGGAGCGAAAGCGUGGGGAGCGAACAGG
This 253-nucleotide ribosomal RNA is filed under the name uncultured bacterium. RNAcentral describes it as "partial 16S ribosomal RNA". It matches the Rfam family "Bacterial small subunit ribosomal RNA", at positions 524 to 776 of the family's 1533-position model. The record is from RNAcentral.